UACGUAGGGCGCAAGCGUUGUCCGGAAUUAUUGGGCGUAAAGAGCUCGUAGGCGGUCUGUUGCGUCUGCCGUGAAAACCCGAGGCUUAACCUCGGGCCUGCGGUGGAUACGGGCAGACUAGAGGUAGGUAGGGGAGAAUGGAAUUCCCGGUGUAGCGGUGAAAUGCGCAGAUAUCAGGAGGAACACCGGUGGCGAAGGCGGGAUCCUGGGCCAGUACUGACGCUGAGGAGCGAAAGCGUGGGGAGCAAACAGG
Molecule: ribosomal RNA, 253 nt
Filed under: uncultured bacterium
Lineage: Bacteria
Description: partial 16S ribosomal RNA
Rfam family: Bacterial small subunit ribosomal RNA
Source: RNAcentral